This 420-nucleotide ribosomal RNA is filed under the name uncultured archaeon. RNAcentral describes it as "partial 16S ribosomal RNA". It matches the Rfam family "Archaeal small subunit ribosomal RNA", at positions 323 to 746 of the family's 1478-position model. The record is from RNAcentral.
CUACGGGACGCUGCAGUCGAGGAAAUUUUACAAUGCUCGCAAGAGUGAUAGAAUAAACCAGAGUGUUCUAUUUAAUAGAACUUUUGUCUGCUGCAAAAAGGCAGACGAAUAAGGACUGGGCAAGACCGGUGCCAGCCGCCGCGGUAAUACCGGCGGUCCAAGUUGUAUCCACAUUUAUUGGGUCUAAAACAUUCGUAACUUGUUUGAUAAGUUUCUUGUGAAAUCCUAUAUCUCAAAUAUAGGGCGCGCAAGAAAUACUGUCUUACUAGAGACCGGAAGACGUAAGGAGUAUGGUUGAGGUAGCGGUAAAAUGUGUUAAUCUCAAUUAGACUAACAAUGGCGAAGGCACCUUACGAGUACGGAUCUGACAGUGAGGGAUGAAGGCUAGGGGCGCAAAAGGGAUUAGAUACCCGAGUAGUC